GGCAUGCACUCCUCUGUCUCGUCUGUGGCGUAGCCGAACAUCAGACCCUGCAGAGGAGAGAGAGAAUCGGAAACAUUGUUGACAGUGAAGUCUGAUGACACAAAUCAUCAUCGGCAGGGAAAAAGCAAAGCACAACAAAAAGCAUGCAACCUUACACCAGCCUGUCACACACACAUUCACCUCCUGCUACCCAUGAGUGAGAGUGAGGGGCAGUAAACACAUGUGGCUGUGAAUGGAAUACCGACCAUGCUUGGAGAGUAAAUACGCAGCACUGGGGAGUUAUUUUGGACAGAUAGUAACACCUGUAUCAGGUUAAUUCAUGUGUAUGUCUAUGCUUCUGUAAAAAAAAUAUCUGCAGCUACAGUAGAAAUGUCAAAAGCUCUUCCUUUGUAUAUACUAGGAAAAGUGUGAAGUUUUAUGUUUUGGGAACAAAAGUGCAAAUGUGUGACAAGCUGUGGUGUAUUUUUGUACAUUUUUUUCAGCGUGCACACACAUAGCUAUGUUUGAUUAAAGACUCACCUGGAUGUCCCUCUCCCACGGACUCCGAGGUGAACAUGAAAGAACCGUCGUCCAGGUGAUCACUCAUGUUUUUCUACGGGUGCCAGGUACUCUGCGAGGUUACUCAAUUCCCACCAGCGAGCAGUCCAGAAAGACCUGAAGGCGGCUUUAUAUUCCUGCUGGUUCUCUUCACCACAGAAACGAAGAACAGGAGGCCAACAGCCCUGCAGCCAAUACAAAGUCUAUCCUGCAAAACUCCACGUCUGUGUCCACAUGGCCCAAUAUAUAUGGCUAAGGCAACGCACGCGCACGCACACACAUCCUGUCACUCUCUCACACACACACACACACACACACCACACACACACACACACACACACACACACACACACACAUAUGUCAUGUGAAUCCGUGGGACAGUCCAUUCCAGGGGGGAGUGGAUGAAGGGAGGGCAUUUCAGCUGGGGGAAGCUGCUUGUUAACCCCUUGUGUACAGCGUGAGGCCUGAGUGAGUGUUUACAGUCAUCACCUGGUUUGAUUGCUCCACUUCAGGGUGCGACGCUUCCUGGGUGAAAGCAGGAGCAUCAUGAACAGGGGGUCCCCUUCUCUUCCAUCAUCACACUGGUGGGACAGCUCCGUCUGCUCGGACAAGGCCGGACUGGGGACAACCUAUAGACAGAGGGAGAGAGGAAAAGAAAAUCGGGGACUGUAUAGGACCUUUUGCGAAAGUGAUGCUCUAAGCAGAUACACACAGACAGACCAUCCAUUACUUUCAAGAACCCAAAUCUGAGGAGUGAUUCGUGCUUUGCUUGUGCUGCAUGAUCGAUUCCAAAGAAACUACAUCUGCACUCCAAAUAAAUUAUACUAAAAGAACAACAUGGAGGAUUACCAGGUUUCUUCUGAGUUAAGCUACACUAAGUUUAAGAUCUACUGUAUCCUGACAAGACAGAGGUGUAUGUCCACUACACAUCAUUCAGCAAUCAAUAAAUUUACAUAAUCCUAUGGAAGAAGCGUCAGAUGUUUAUUACGUUAGUGUACAGUGGUGGGCCGGAUGAAACCUACAAACUGGAGAUCCCCUCUAGAUAAAGUCUUAAGUUCAAAUCCCCCUGAACCUUCACCCAUAGAGCCUUUGAGGCCUUUGGAAGGUGAGGAGCAGGAUGAUAAACACCAGAUGAACUUUGUGUUGCAACUUCUCAAGUUUCUAGUGUGUUUAAAUCAUCAUCUAUGUUCAUAUCAUCUAACCCAGUCUCAAGUCAGUGUGACAAAAAUCAAGCCACGUGACAGCGUCCGAUUGGCUACGUGAUAUGUGUGUCACACUGCACCCCAGUGUGUUUCAACUUACAAGCCAAAGUCAGGGUUUCGGGGUCACUUUGGGAUCCGAGGGUCAGUCAGACUCAACUUGACAGAACAGGAUGAGAUAACCAAACGCUGGCGGCCUCAGGAGCUGUUAACACCUGUUUGUCCCAGGUUCAAGGACACACAGUUUACCUCCAUAACUUGCCUCUCUGUCCUCUGAGCUCAUCUGGUUACCAACCAGUUUCAUCUGGAUGGCGUUCAGAGAUGGCAGAAUAAGUUGGAUCUUGCCAGACAUGAACUUUUAUUGCAACAGGGAAAGAUUGGGGAGCAAUUGGUGUGUCCAACUUAUUACAUAAGCAGCUGCAUUACAAUAAGCAAAAGAUAAUGCAUGAAGCCUGUCACCAGAAUAAUUUAUAUAUGAUUAUUGAUAUUUCUUCUUAUCAUUACUGGACUGUACUUUUACACACUUUUAUAGCCUUUGUAAUCUGUUACUGUGUUUAUGUUUUGGCUUCUUGUUUCACAGGAAUUUUACAGCAUUGUUAAGCAAAUUUUUAUUAUAUUACCAAUUUUUUUUUCUCUCAGAGUUCUUGAUGUUCUCUCAGAGCAAAGAAAAGGAAGCUGUACAUUGCUUGAAACAGAUCCAUAAGCAGAUCUCUCUUCUCAAAUGAAGUUGCACUGUAAUUGCUAUCAUACUCGCAGUCCUUUUACUACUGCACACUUUGCUCUCUGAUUGGCUUCACUUGCACAAUAAGAAUUUGACAUGUCAACCAAUGUCUGUGAGCGCAAACACCACACAGGAGGUGGGGUGCAGCGCUGCAGCUGUGAUUGGCUGUGAGUCCCACACACUCCCCACUGGAACAGCGCAGGCCCAAGAGGAGACUGUGCUGCAUUUGUGUAUACGUUUGCAUGUGUGUCUGUGUGUGAUGAGAACACCAGCGCCAAAACAACCCCAGACCUCCACUGAAUCUCACAAAUGAGGGUUUUGUGCGUUGUGAGGUGUGAAAUGAUUACAGUAUGCUGACUCCUAGUAGCAUAUUUUUUACUCCAAAUGGCCGAUUGUCUGAUGAGGGACUGACUCACAGGCACGAGUUUCACUUUCUCACAAAAACCAGUAGCCUUUCAUUCUGCAACUAAGCAUCCAGGCAGACCCACACCCCAGCAAAUGGCUGCACAGAUCAGCCAGAGGGAGAGCAGCUGCUGGGCUCAUAGAGUGUCAUCCUAUCCCAUCUAUUCCAGCCCAUUUGGGACCCUCAGCACAUUCCUCUGUGAAGCUGCCACCAAUGAGUGAAAUAUUACCACCAUGUCACUUUAGCAAUUAACUUUCUUCACAGAUAUUAUGCAGGGGGAAAACAAUGUCCUCAUUUGACUUGUGUGUUGAUGAUACGUUGCAGAAAAGUAUGAUUAGAGACAGUUGAACUCAUUCAGGGCAUGCACUUUGAGCUCCUGAACAUCUUGAUCCCCUCUUUAUUGCAAUGUUCCGGGGUGGUUUUAUCAAUAGCGCCUCUUAUAAAGCUGUCACUGGGUGGUGGUUGUAAAUAAAAAGGUCAUAAAACAGACACAGGAUGUUUUUGAACCACUGCUACUUUAUGUAAUGAAUGCAUAUUAUGUAAUAUAAUGUUACACAUUUCUCUUCUAAGAUUAAGUCUUUCACUAUUUUGAAAAACUGUAUUUAUAUGUGUAUAAAUAGGUUCUUGGCAAACCAUUACUUGUAACUCUCCCUAUAAAAAACACCCACUGACCAACUACAUGAGGCCUCAAGACCGCAGAGUUAGCUCACCUUCUCUCUAACACAACUGAACACUGCAACUGUCACUAAAGUAAGAUUUAUCUGGCUGCUGUAUUGAACUGAAUUAUUAUGCAAGAGCCUAAUAAACUUGGAACUCCUGGUACAGCAGCCACAUUGAAUGAGAAAAAAUGGAAACACUGUCAUGUAGACAACAAUGAAGAUGUUCUCAAACACUGUAUUAAAUGAAGUAAUUUUACGUUCAUGCAAGGUCAAUUCAUGAAUGAUACGUAAGGAUUUGAUCUUUGUCAUGUACGAGUAGCUUUGAUUUCUGGCCUCAUUGUUGGAUGAAAGAAACUGUUUAAAUAAAGAUAAGAUAAGACAGAACUUAAUA
Molecule: long non-coding RNA, 3910 nt
Organism: Amphiprion ocellaris (clown anemonefish)
Lineage: Eukaryota; Metazoa; Chordata; Actinopteri; Pomacentridae
Exons: 4
Source: RefSeq, a predicted model, not a curated record